GCUCGCCGCUGCUUUGCAUCCGGCCCGCCCGCGGCGCGGGGAUCGGACGCCGCUGCUCGGAUGAAUUUCCCACCCGUGAGCGCUGAUACGGUUAUCUCUGCUCUGCAGACGGAGAGUCCGAAGCACUGAGGAUAAGUGACUUGUCCAAGGUGACUUCGCAGCCGAGUCCGGGAGAGGACUCUGAAGUCCUGCCUCCAGCCCCCUGCCCUGCCUGCAUCGGUCGCUAACAUCACCAGAGCUUCCUCCUGCGAGCGCUGCGGCUGCAUCGCGCUUUGCCCUGCUCCGCUCGGCUGCUCUGCGAGCAGGGACCGCUGCUACCUGCCUGCUAACGUGAACCGGGGGAAUAGCCGUAGGGAAGCAAUGCRCUGCUUGAACACAGCCGCCAGCACGCCCGCCGACAGGUCGUUCUUUUUACAGUCUAUUUGGGAAACAACCAUUUGCAUGCGCUUCUCCCCAGCUCGGGGACGAACCCAUACCGCAGGGCCACCGCUUGGAGCAUGACACCCAGACCCGUGCCUGGGGACACCCGAAAUCCCCCGGCUGCCUGGAGAAGGAAGGAGGUUUGCAGCCAUUCCCCUCCCUGCCGCAGGCCCCRCUGGGGCUGCUUCCAAGCCACCUGCAUCCGCCAGCACCCGCCGGCYGCACUCCUGCUCCUGUUUGCACAUCUCCAUCGCCUUCGCCUUGGAGGUAUCAGUGGGGAAGACCAACACUGUGAUGGCUCUGAAUGGCUCCAAUGUCCUGCUGCCCUGCAUCUUCACCACCUGCAUAGGCUUCCAGGACCUGGUCUUCACAUGGUAUUUCAACUCGACAGAGAUGAUUUACCACGGCAAGAUCAAGAGCAAGGCCUCGGAGCCCUCCCUCGUGGGACGCAACCCCCGGGUCGAGUUCGUCGGCUCGACCACCGGGAAGGACAACAACAUCUCCAUAGUGCUGAGCGAAGUGGAUUUCAGCGAUGCCGGGAAAUACACGUGCCACGUCAAGAACCCCAAGGAGAAGAACGCGCAGCACAGCGCCUCCAUCUUCCUCACCGUCGUCCACAAGAUGGUGGAGACGGACAACACCUUGACGCUCAUCAUCGUAAGCGUCGUGGGGGGCGUCAUCGGCUUUCUCGUCUUCUUCAUGCUGGUCAAGAAAGUUAUCCUCUUCAUCAUCAAGAAGAUGCAGGACAGGAAGUGAGUAUGGACGCGUGCCGC
This 1193-nucleotide long non-coding RNA is filed under the name Apteryx rowi (Okarito brown kiwi). RNAcentral describes it as "lncRNA (ENSARWG00000001684.1)". The record is from RNAcentral. Lineage: Eukaryota; Metazoa; Chordata; Aves; Apterygiformes; Apterygidae.